GACGAACGCUGGCGGCGUGCCUAAUACAUGCAAGUUGAGCGCUGAAGGUUGGUACUUGUACCAACUGGAUGAGCAGCGAACGGGUGAGUAACGCGUGGGGAAUCUGCCUUUGAGCGGGGGACAACAUUUGGAAACGAAUGCUAAUACCGCAUAAAAACUUUAAACACAAGUUUUAAGUUUGAAAGAUGCAAUUGCAUCACUCAAAGAUGAUCCCGCGUUGUAUUAGCUAGUUGGUGAGGUAAAGGCUCACCAAGGCGAUGAUACAUAGCCGACCUGAGAGGGUGAUCGGCCACAUUGGGACUGAGACACGGCCCAAACUCCUACGGGAGGCAGCAGUAGGGAAUCUUCGGCAAUAGACGAAAGGCUGACCGAGCAACGCCGCGUGAGUGAAGAAGGGUUUCGGAUCGUAAAACUCUGUUGGUAGAGAAGAACGUUGGUGAGAGUGGAAAGCUCAUCAAGUGACGGUAACUACCCAGAAAGGGACGGCUAACUACGUG
This 497-nucleotide ribosomal RNA is filed under the name uncultured bacterium. RNAcentral's name for it is "partial 16S ribosomal RNA". It matches the Rfam family "Bacterial small subunit ribosomal RNA", at positions 28 to 507 of the family's 1533-position model. The record is from RNAcentral.